This 275-nucleotide long non-coding RNA is filed under the name Monodelphis domestica (gray short-tailed opossum). RNAcentral describes it as "lncRNA (ENSMODG00000050599.1)". The record is from RNAcentral. Lineage: Eukaryota; Metazoa; Chordata; Mammalia; Didelphimorphia; Didelphidae.
CCUAAUCAAAGAAGAUGAGAACUAAAGAAUGGGCAUUUAGAGGAGGGGACACAAGGGUAAAAGGUCUAUAUAUUUGGCUCACUUCCUCUCUCAGGUACCUUUUGGUGGUGGAGAAUUGGUUGGUGGCAAAGUGUGGGCCUUUUGGCAUCUUGACAUGGCUACAAGCUAUUUCCCGGAUCAGUGGGUAAGAAAUUUGCUGCCUCCUGGAAUCCAGAGACUGAACUCCUUGUGGAAGAUGCCAUGGAGAUGCCCAUAGAGACCACAUGUUACUCCAG